GAUGAACGCUGGCGGCGUGCCUAAUACAUGCAAGUCGAGCGAACGGACGAGAAGCUUGCUUCUCUGAUGUUAGCGGCGGACGGGUGAGUAACACGUGGAUAACCUACCUAUAAGACUGGGAUCACUUCGGGAAACCGGAGCUAAUACCGGAUGAUAUUUUGAACCGCAUGGUUCAAAAGUGAAAGACGGUCUUGCUGUCACUUAUAGAUGGAUCCGCGCUGCAUUAGCUAGUUGGUAAGGUAACGGCUUAUCAAGGCAACGAUGCAUAGCCGACCUGAGAGAGUCAUCGCCCACACGGGAGCUGAGACACGGUCCAUGCAACUACGAGAAGCUGCAGAAUGGAACCUGCCGCAAUAGGCGAAAGUCUGACGGAGCCACGCCACGCGAGUGAUGAUGAUCUUGAGUUCGUAAUACGGUGUUAUUAGGGAAAAACAGAUUUGUCAGUAAAUGUGCACAUCGUGACGGUACCUAAUCAGAAAGCCACGGCUAACUACGUG
Molecule: ribosomal RNA, 497 nt
Filed under: uncultured bacterium
Lineage: Bacteria
Description: partial 16S ribosomal RNA
Rfam family: Bacterial small subunit ribosomal RNA
Source: RNAcentral